RNAcentral lists this long non-coding RNA (522 nucleotides) under Phoenix dactylifera (date palm). RNAcentral describes it as "long non-coding RNA (PDAC_LNC020525)". Lineage: Eukaryota; Viridiplantae; Streptophyta; Magnoliopsida; Arecales; Arecaceae. The record is from RNAcentral.
CCCUGCUUCGUCCGCAUCACAACGCCCGCGUCUCUAGCAUCCCGCGAUCAGCGUCAAGCUCCGUCGAUCACGCUCCCGUCUCCUCCGCGUUUCAGAUCAUCCACCGCGUCCGUGAUCCACCUCUUCCGCUCCUCCCAAUGGUUCACAGCACCACACCUCCUCCGCGGCGCCCUCCAAGUCACCCCAGCUCAUUCCGCGGCCAGCCCCUCUCCACCGUGUCCGUGAUCAACGCUCACAGCAGCCUCCUCCGCCUCAGCCCGCGGUAGCCUUCAUUAUCAGCCAUCACUGCAUCCAAUCUUCCAUUCCCAGCACUCAGCAGCCUGUGAUGCAUCCCAAGAUCCAUGCCUUCCUCCAAGCGAUCCCGCAGCUAACCAAUUGCGAGCAUCCGGCGCCUCCUCUUCCAGCAACGGUUCCGGGAUCCAAGCAUCAGCCAUUCUCUCAGCAAUCCCGUGGCCAGCCGUGAAUCACCCUGCGCCCGAGCUCCAUGAAUCGUGCCUUCAAGUCCUCCCUUCCGGAAUCCCA